Molecule: non-coding RNA, 30 nt
Filed under: Mus musculus (house mouse)
Lineage: Eukaryota; Metazoa; Chordata; Mammalia; Rodentia; Muridae
Source: RNAcentral
UGACACGACUCUGACUCCAGAAAUUCCACU